RNAcentral lists this long non-coding RNA (541 nucleotides) under Sus scrofa (pig). RNAcentral's name for it is "lncRNA (ENSSSCG00070002856.1)". Lineage: Eukaryota; Metazoa; Chordata; Mammalia; Artiodactyla; Suidae. The record is from RNAcentral.
AUAGCGCCAUCCGCUGCGUCGUUUAGAGUCCACCAACAGGUGAUGUCCUAGGGCACUUGUCUUUUCCUUUCUGGCUUCCUUCGCUUAGCCUGAGGGUCUCUCGUUCCAGCCCGCGGCGGCAGAUGGCACUCGUUCUGCCGCUUUUUCCUGGCUGUGUGCGAUGCCAUCGCAUAGAUGUCCCCGGGUCUGCGAAGUGCACUCACCUGUCAGUGGACCUUUAGGUGGCUUCCAGAUCUUGGCUCUGCCCCGCGGCGGCAGAUGGCACUCGUUCUGCCGCUUUUUCCUGGCUGUGUGCGAUGCCAUCGCAUGGAUGUCCCCGGGCCUUCGAAGUGCACUCACCUGUCAGUGGACCUUUAGGUGGCUUCCAGAUCUUGGCUCUGGUGAGUAGUGCGGCGACAGACAGAGGGGUGCCCGGGUCUGCUUCCGGGAAAGUUUGGUCCCGGUGAAAUGGAGCUGUUUGGAGGCCGGCUUCGGUCUUUGUGUGGGCCGGCCCGUGUAGGGCUGCUUGGCUGAGACUCUGUCGAGGAGGGAGGCCUUCAGC